This 411-nucleotide long non-coding RNA is filed under the name Salmo salar (Atlantic salmon). RNAcentral describes it as "lncRNA (ENSSSAG00000100894.1)". Lineage: Eukaryota; Metazoa; Chordata; Actinopteri; Salmoniformes; Salmonidae. The record is from RNAcentral.
AGAAUAUGACACUUUUUCAUUUUCUGACAAGUGAGCACAGAUAUGGUCAUUUUCAGAAAUUCUUAGAAUGUUUGGGAAUUACGUACACUAAGGCAUUUGUGAAAAUUCUAUAGCAAUAUAGAGUGGGAAGUCGGCCAUGUGUUUGGACAGUUAAUAGACACUGCAGUAAAUAAAACCGAAUAAAAACAUCUGUCUCGUCCAGGACCGGAGUGUCUCGUCCAGGACCGGAGUCUACACAGACUGUUAAGCCAUAGCCAAUCAGAGCUGAUGUGUGGUGAGCGUUGGUCACCGUGUAUCACCCAGGUAUGUGACACAGAUUGGUGGUGGAUGAGUGUAGAUGUACAAGUGUAAUCAGUGGUGGUGUAGCAGGAUGAUUGGAAUGCAGUGAAUCAAGAGGUUGUGAUUUCAAAU